UGAACAAAAUUGCAAGACUGC
This 21-nucleotide non-coding RNA is filed under the name Rattus norvegicus (Norway rat). The record is from RNAcentral. Lineage: Eukaryota; Metazoa; Chordata; Mammalia; Rodentia; Muridae.